AUUGAACGCUGGCGGCGUGCCUAACACAUGCAAGUCGAGCGGCAGCGCGGGAGCAAUCCUGGCGGCGAGCGGCGGACGGGUGAGUAACGCUUGGGAAUCUGCCCGUUAGUGGGGGACAACCCGGGGAAACUCGGGCUAAUACCGCAUACGCACUACGGUGGAAAGCCGGGGACCGCAAGGCCUGGCGCUAACAGAUGAGCCCAAGUCGGAUUAGCUAGUUGGUAGGGUAACGGCCUACCAAGGCGACGAUCCGUAACUGGUCUGAGAGGACGACCAGUCACACCGGAACUGAGACACGGUCCGGACUCCUACGGGAGGCAGCAGUGGGGAAUAUUGGACAAUGGGGGAAACCCUGAUCCAGCGACGCCGC
RNAcentral lists this ribosomal RNA (370 nucleotides) under uncultured bacterium. RNAcentral's name for it is "bacterial SSU rRNA". It matches the Rfam family "Bacterial small subunit ribosomal RNA", at positions 29 to 400 of the family's 1533-position model. The record is from RNAcentral.